CUACUGGUUCUACUGGUGAGACGUCGUGUUCUCAGGAGACCUAAAGCUGAUGGAGGAGAAGCUGGAGGAGAUGACAUCACAUACAGUGACAUCAGAGUAUUACAUCAUCAACAGCAGCCAAUCAGACGGAGCAGAGAGAGCGAUCCAGCUGCAGUCUACUCGGCAGUGAAAGGAAGAGAAGACGUCACUUAUGGACAGAUGGUCUUCAAAGACGGUGGAGGCCGAUCAAAGAC
Acanthochromis polyacanthus (spiny chromis) is the source of this 233-nucleotide long non-coding RNA. RefSeq lists it as uncharacterized. NCBI's taxonomy places the organism in Eukaryota, Metazoa, Chordata, Actinopteri, Pomacentridae. The record is from RefSeq and is a predicted model, not a curated record. The transcript has 3 exons.